This 1028-nucleotide long non-coding RNA is filed under the name Cricetulus griseus (Chinese hamster). Its description in RNAcentral is "lncRNA (ENSCGRG00015037508.1)". The record is from RNAcentral. Lineage: Eukaryota; Metazoa; Chordata; Mammalia; Rodentia; Cricetidae.
AUGACCUCCUCCCCAUUCUCCAUGGUGAACCCAAUCUGGUGUGGGUCUCAUGUAGGUGAUCACAGCUACUGAGAGCUCAAGAGAGCAAAGGCCAGUAAGCCUUCACUUCUGCCAAGAUGAUGACUAUGGUAAUUUGGGUUUUGUGUACAUUGUAAUAUAAGGAGGUGCUUCCAUCCUGUGGAUUCCUGCUCAUCUCUGUUUCCUGCUCAUUCCUGCUCUCCUCUGCAUACAGAGGAGUAUCCCAGCUGGCAAAGUCUACAUGUGUCUACAUUCAUGUAUCUGCUUCCUGGAAGACACACCCACCUCCACUCCCAGUCAUCAGUCAUGAUGGGGUUUACAACCAAGUUUAUGAAAGAGAAGUGGAAGCUGGAAACCAGGAUACUGAGAACAGCAGAGAAAUCAGCAGCAGGAAAAACAGGGUGAAUCAACUCAUCUGCAUAAAGGAAGGCCAGAUGAGCAAAAGACAGGCACCUUACAAUGCUAGAAGGAACAUAUUAAGUUGGCUACAGCUAUGAUUGAAGCACCCCUAAAAUGAAUGUGCCUGUCCCGUGGCUGCAAUAAUUGGGAGGCAGCAAAGAGCUGUUAAGUCAUGACAAGAUUCCCUGGUUGUUUUCUGAAAACCUGUCCACCAACUCUUCUUCAGGGCAGUUGCAGGCACAGUCCCUGGAAACCGACACCCUAUGGACAGAGGUAUCAAAAUAUGUCAUUCAUGAAGACACAAGCUCUCCAGAGUCUUCACCUUUUAAAGUGCUAAAAAAGAAGUUCUGGACCCAAAACCAUCCAAGUUUUCAUCCAAUUCAGCUUCAAAGUAAAGAAUGAGGUCCUCAGUGUACCAGGAUGGAACCCAGAGCCUUGAAGAUGAUUGGCAAAUGCUCUAUCCAUGAGCUGUACCUGCAGCCCCACAUGUCAAGAUACAGAAUACCUUUGGGGAGUCCUAGAGGGUUUCUGCCCAGCCUAUCAGCCAAGCUCUGAGACUUCUUCCUUGACCAAAAGUUUGCAGAAGGCUGAGUCGCGUGUAUACACUGAGG